GUUUAUACGGCUGGAGGUCAAGAGGAGAGGUUUAUAACGGCUGGAGGUUUGGAAAAGGCUGAGCUAUGUGUUUGCCAAACAACUUUACACGUCUGUUUCACACACAGGGAGGUAUUGCAGUGUGAAUCACAAUUCAUGUUGAUUAAAACAAAUGAUAAUGACA
Molecule: non-coding RNA, 163 nt
Organism: Salvelinus sp. IW2-2015
Lineage: Eukaryota; Metazoa; Chordata; Actinopteri; Salmoniformes; Salmonidae
Source: RefSeq, a predicted model, not a curated record